GACGAACGCUGGCGGCGUGCCUAAUACAUGCAAGUCGAGCGAACAGACGAGGAUCUUGCUCCUCUGACGUUAGCCGCGGACGGGUGAGUAACACGUGGAUCACCUACCUAUAAGACUGGUAUAACUUCGGGAAACCGGAGCUAAUACCGGAUAAUAUAUUGAAGCGCAUGGUUGGAUAGUGAAAGACGGUUUUGCUGUACCUUCUAGAUGGAUCCGCGCUGCAUUGGCUGGUUGGUACGGUAACGGCUUACCAAGGCGACGAUGCGUAGCCGACCUGAGAGGGUGAUCGGCCACACUGGAACUGAGACGCGGUCCAGAGUCCUACGGGAGGCAGCAGUAGGGAAUCUUACGCAAUGGGCGGAAGCCUGACGGAGCAACGCCGCGUGAGUGAUGAAGGUCUUCGGAUCGUAAGACUGUGUUAGGAGUGAAGAACAAAUGUGGAAGUAACUAUGCACGUCGUGACGGUACCUGAUCAAGAAGCAACGGCUAACUACGUG
This 497-nucleotide ribosomal RNA is filed under the name uncultured bacterium. RNAcentral describes it as "partial 16S ribosomal RNA". It matches the Rfam family "Bacterial small subunit ribosomal RNA", at positions 28 to 507 of the family's 1533-position model. The record is from RNAcentral.